GGCUAGUAUUAGAAAGCUGUACCAGCAGCCGGCCAGACUCCAGUAUCAGCUAUGGCAAACCAUGCGUGAAGCUGAUGCCUUCAAACCAUUUCCUAUAGAUGAGGCAUAGCACGUGCUGUGGUAUUUAUGAGCCGCCAUUUGUUGUACUAUUGUGGUGAACCUACCCUGGAUGUGAAGAUUGCCUUUUGUCAGGAAACCUUAGAGCUUCAGAGCCUCCUGUCAGCAAAUGAUGUGCAGAGAGCUCACCAGCAGCGAGAUGUGGGUACUGCCACUCAGCUCUUGGGGUGGCAAAAUUACUUCUGCUGUAUAAGUAUCCAGCAGGUACCAGCACAGGUCAGUGCUAUAUAG
RNAcentral lists this long non-coding RNA (348 nucleotides) under Pavo cristatus (Indian peafowl). Its description in RNAcentral is "lncRNA (ENSPSTG00000005346.1)". Lineage: Eukaryota; Metazoa; Chordata; Aves; Galliformes; Phasianidae. The record is from RNAcentral.